GCGCGUGUAGCUCAGUUGGUUAGAGCAUGGCUCUUAUAAAGCCAGGGUCGAUGGUUCGAAUCCAUCCACGCGCACCA
This 77-nucleotide transfer RNA is filed under the name Candidatus Wildermuthbacteria bacterium. RNAcentral describes it as "tRNA-Ile". It matches the Rfam family "tRNA". Rfam says of the family: Transfer RNA (tRNA) molecules are approximately 80 nucleotides in length. Their secondary structure includes four short double-helical elements and three loops (D, anti-codon, and T loops). Further hydrogen bonds mediate the characteristic L-shaped molecular structure. tRNAs have two regions of fundamental functional importance: the anti-codon, which is responsible for specific mRNA codon recognition, and the 3' end, to which the tRNAs corresponding amino acid is attached (by aminoacyl-tRNA synthetases). tRNAs cope with the degeneracy of the genetic code in two manners: having more than one tRNA (with a specific anti-codon) for a particular amino acid; and 'wobble' base-pairing, i.e. permitting non-standard base-pairing at the 3rd anti-codon position. Lineage: Bacteria; Candidatus Wildermuthiibacteriota. The record is from RNAcentral.